GUUUUCUCAGGGUCUAAGGUUACGCCAGAUAGACAUGAUGGAUGACAGGUCUGUGUCACAGCAGUUGAAAGGAUGAGAAGGCGUACAGGCCAGAUGAUUGGUGGAAGAAGGGAGUUCGUUGUGAUCGACGGAAGUCAUUUUCAACACAAAAGAAAGUAUGGUAGAGGAAGAAUGGCUGGUGGGUGGAAAAGAAAAAAGUGGGUCUUUGGGAUGUUAGGUGUGAGGCAUCAUCAGCAGCAAAGAUCAGGAAAACCCAUUCUACGUCUUCUGGAGAGAAGGUCUCGAAGACAUCAAGUCCCCUUGAUUGCUCGUCAUGUAAGGCCUGGGUCAUCAAUUAUCAGUGACGAAUUACUCCCUGCACUUGGGUACAAUCAUCACACUGUCAACCACAGCAGGUGGUAUGUAGAUCCCCACACUGGUGCCCAUACCCAGCAUAUUGAGAGGAGCAGAUCUGGAGGCUUAGGGGAAAUCGUACUGAGAGUUUGCUUUCUGACCACCUUGCAGUGA
Cyprinus carpio carpio is the source of this 507-nucleotide long non-coding RNA. NCBI's taxonomy places the organism in Eukaryota, Metazoa, Chordata, Actinopteri, Cypriniformes, Cyprinidae. The record is from Ensembl.